RNAcentral lists this ribosomal RNA (440 nucleotides) under uncultured bacterium. RNAcentral describes it as "partial 16S ribosomal RNA". The record is from RNAcentral.
GACUACAGGGGUAUCUAAUCCUGUUUGCUCCCCACGCUUUCGUGCCUCAGCGUCAGGACAUGCCCAGCUGCGCGUCUUCACCAUCGGCAUUCCAGUAGAUAUCUACGCAUUUCACCGCUCCACCUACUGUUCUCGCAGCCCCUACAUGCCUCAAGAUCCGCAGUUCGCCCUGCUGUUCCUCAGUUGAGCUGAGGUAUUUCACAAGACGCUUGCAGACCCGCCUACGCACCCUUUAAGCCCAGUGAUUCCGACUAACGCUUGUGGCCUCUGUAUUACCGCGACUGCUGGCACAGAGUUAGUCGCCACUUCCUUUGGGGUCGAUCAUUGUUUCCAACCCCUGACAGUAGUUUACACGUCAGAGACGCUUCAUCCUACACGCGGCAUUGCUCCGUCAGGCUUGCGCCCAUUGCGGAAGAUUCCUUACUGCAGCCCCCCGUAGG